GCCGGAAUAGCUCAGCUGGGAGAGCGUUAGGCUGAAGAUCUGAAGGUCCCUGGUUGGAUCCUGGGUUUCGGCA
Non-coding RNA from Leopardus geoffroyi (Geoffroy's cat), 73 nucleotides. Lineage: Eukaryota; Metazoa; Chordata; Mammalia; Carnivora; Felidae. The record is from the annotation of a RefSeq genome assembly.